AACGAACGCUGGCGGCAUGCCUAACACAUGCAAAUCGAACGAGAUCUUCGGGUCUAGUGGCGCACGGGUGCGUAACGCGUGGGAAUCUGCCCUUUGGUUCGGAAUAACAGUUGGAAACGACUGCUAAUACCGGAUGAUGACGAAAGUCCAAAGAUUUAUCGCCAGAGGAUGAGCCCGCGUAGGAUUAGCUAGUUGGUGUGGUAAAGGCGCACCAAGGCGACGAUCCUUAGCUGGUCUGAGAGGAUGAUCAGCCACACUGGGACUGAGACACGGCCCAGACUCCUACGGGAGGCAGCAGUGGGGAAUAUUGGACAAUGGGCGAAAGCCUGAUCCAGCAAUGCCGCGUGAGUGAUGAAGGCCUUAGGGUUGUAAAGCUCUUUUACCCGGGAUGAUAAUGACAGUACCGGGAGAAUAAGCUCCGGCUAACUCCGUGCCAGCCGCCGCUGUAA
RNAcentral lists this ribosomal RNA (449 nucleotides) under uncultured bacterium. RNAcentral describes it as "partial 16S ribosomal RNA". It matches the Rfam family "Bacterial small subunit ribosomal RNA", at positions 29 to 523 of the family's 1533-position model. The record is from RNAcentral.